Molecule: non-coding RNA, 487 nt
Organism: Paramuricea clavata
Lineage: Eukaryota; Metazoa; Cnidaria; Anthozoa; Malacalcyonacea; Plexauridae
Source: the annotation of a GenBank genome assembly
AUUUUCUUUAGUUAGUUUGUGCUUGCAGUGCAAUUUGGAAAAAUGAUUGAACCAAUCAUCCCCUUUUGGGGUGUUGUCGGAAUUAGCAUUGUUUAUUUCAUCGGAAGCGUUUCGGAAAGUUUUCCAGAACGAAUUAGGAUUGUCUUCAGCAGCCUUUUCUAGUUCAAUUAGCAUGUCGUUUUGAAAUUUAGUUCUUUUUCUUUCUAAAGUUUCUUUGUAGGUUUUGAGAGCAGUAUGGUAGGCUUCUCUUAUAGCCAAAUUUGUUGGGUCUCUAUGUUUUUGAUUUGCAAUUUUACGUAAUUCAUGUCUUUUUAAAUCGACAUUCCUUAUCAAACCAUUUUUUGUUUGCUACGUUGUUUAUUUUUCUUCUAGUUUUCUUUUUUCUUAUUUUCAAAGAUUUUUUGCUGUGUGAGUUAUAAUAUUUUGGAAUUCAGUCACACAUUCAUUAACUCGAUCCAUUUUCGUCAUUAGUGAAUGUGGACUGCAG